This 463-nucleotide ribosomal RNA is filed under the name Vreelandella stevensii. RNAcentral's name for it is "partial 16S ribosomal RNA". It matches the Rfam family "Bacterial small subunit ribosomal RNA", at positions 338 to 795 of the family's 1533-position model. The record is from RNAcentral. Lineage: Bacteria; Pseudomonadati; Pseudomonadota; Gammaproteobacteria; Oceanospirillales; Halomonadaceae.
CCUAGGUGGCUGCAGUGGGGAAUAUUGGACAAUGGGCGAAAGCCUGGUCCAGCCAUGCCGCGUGUGUGAAGAAGGCCUUCGGGUUGUAAAGCACUUUCAGUGGGGAAGAAAGCCUUGGGGCUAAUACCCUCGAGGAAGGACAUCACCCACAGAAGAAGCACCGGCUAACUCCGUGCCAGCAGCCGCGGUAAUACGGAGGGUGCGAGCGUUAAUCGGAAUUACUGGGCGUAAAGCGCGCGUAGGCGGUCUGAUAAGCCGGUUGUGAAAGCCCCGGGCUCAACCUGGGAACGGCAUCCGGAACUGUCAGGCUAGAGUGCAGGAGAGGAAGGUAGAAUUCCCGGUGUAGCGGUGAAAUGCGUAGAGAUCGGGAGGAAUACCAGUGGCGAAGGCGGCCUUCUGGACUGACACUGACGCUGAGGUGCGAAAGCGUGGGUAGCAAACAGGAUUAGAUACCCCAGUAGUC